Ostrea edulis (European flat oyster) is the source of this 751-nucleotide long non-coding RNA. RefSeq lists it as uncharacterized. Lineage: Eukaryota; Metazoa; Mollusca; Bivalvia; Ostreida; Ostreidae. The record is from RefSeq and is a predicted model, not a curated record. The transcript is spliced from 2 exons.
CUAAAAAUAACACCAAAUUAAACGUAAAUGUAUUAUUUAAAUCAACAUAAUUUUAGUGUGCUUAGUACAAUUGUGGGAAUCUAAAAUCGAUGUAAAUAUGUCAUUAAGGCGACAGCACAUACCUGAAGCAAUGACGACGCAUGUCAACAAUACAGGAAUCAGAAGCCGUGUUAUGUCCAGCAUUGUCCGAGUUUCACAAGGUGGAGUUUUUCUUUUCUUUCUUUUUUUUCUUUAUUUCUUUUCCUCCGACAUCUUGUCUCAUCUGUGGCAAAUAUUUCACAAACGUUUUUGAACACGUUUCGACCACUUGCGUAGGAACAGUCGCUAUCCAAGAUGCUUGGUGGAUACAGUAAUUGACCUUGAUAUUGUGCUCAGUGCUGAACUUUGCGGUCUCUGUCAUCAAGAUCUAUAUCUUUUUCUAUUAGGUGCUAGAAUGUUCACAGUUAAUCUUUCCCAUUAUGACGAACCCGGCUUGCAUUUUCUGAACUUCCGCUUCCUGAGGGAUGCAGCAGCAUGUUACAACAGACAGUUACGUCUUACAUAACUGCAGGUUUUUCACCAUUUUCGGUGUUCAAUUCUAAUUAGCUAUAUAUCGCCUGUACUUAUAUUGUGCUCAACUUUCUUCUUAUGUACAAAUCUCAUAUCCUUUUCCUUUGUAUAUAUGAAUAUGUGUAAUACUCUAAUUAUGUAAUUUCUGUAUUGUUCAUGCAAUCUCCCAUGGGAGGAAAUAAAGAAAGAAUGAAUGAAUGAU